Molecule: ribosomal RNA, 169 nt
Filed under: uncultured bacterium
Lineage: Bacteria
Description: partial 16S ribosomal RNA
Rfam family: Bacterial small subunit ribosomal RNA
Source: RNAcentral
CCUACGGGAGGCAGCAGUAGGGAAUUUUCCACAAUGGGCGAAAGCCUGAUGGAGCAACGCCGCGUGCAGGAUGAAGGCCUUCGGGUCGUAAACUGCUUUUAUGUGCGAAGAAUAUGACGGUAACACAUGAAUAAGGGUCGGCUAACUACGUGCCAGCAGCCGCGGUAAU